This 253-nucleotide ribosomal RNA is filed under the name uncultured prokaryote. Its description in RNAcentral is "partial 16S ribosomal RNA". It matches the Rfam family "Bacterial small subunit ribosomal RNA", at positions 524 to 776 of the family's 1533-position model. The record is from RNAcentral.
UACGAGGGGGGCAAGCGUUGUUCGGAAUUAUUGGGCGUAAAGGGCGCGUAGGCGGUGCGGUAAGUCACCUGUGAAAUCUCUGGGCUCAACUCAGAGUCUGCAGGCGAAACUGCCGUGCUGGAGUAUGGGAGAGGUGCGUGGAAUUCCCGGUGUAGCGGUGAAAUGCGCAGAUAUCGGGAGGAACACCGGUGGCGAAGGCGGUUCUCUGGGCCUUACCUGACGCUGAGGAGCGAAAGCCAGGGGAGCGAACGGG